Molecule: ribosomal RNA, 274 nt
Filed under: uncultured bacterium
Lineage: Bacteria
Description: partial 16S ribosomal RNA
Rfam family: Bacterial small subunit ribosomal RNA
Source: RNAcentral
AUACGGAGGGUGCAAGCGUUGUUCGGAAUCACUGGGCGUAAAGGGCGCGCAGGCGGUUUGAUUAGUCAGAUGUGAAAGCCCACGGCUUAACCGUGGAAGUGCAUUUGAAACUGUCAGACUUGAGUACCAGAGGGGGUAGUGGAAUUCCCGGUGUAGAGGUGAAAUUCGUAGAUAUCGGGAGGAAUACCGGUGGCGAAGGCGACUACCUGGCUGGAUACUGACGCUGAGGCGCGAAAGCGUGGGGAGCAAACAGGAUUAGAUACCCCGGUAGUCC